UAUCUAAUAAAGGACCCCCACAUACAAACUGUCGUUUAAAAUGGAAAAAAUUAUAUGAAAUUGCAGUUGGUAUUGCUAGAGGCCUGGAGUACUUGCAUAGAGGGUGUAACACUCGGAUUGUGCAUUUUGACAUAAAGCCUCACAACAUUCUUCUUGAUGAAGACUUUUGUCCAAAGAUCUCAGAUUUUGGUCUCGCGAAGCUAUGCCAGAGCAAAGUAAGUAAGAUUUCGAUGAUAGGUGCCAGAGGAACUAUUGGUUACAUAGCGCCUGAAAUAGUCUGCAGAAAUUUUGGAGGAGUAACUUACAAGUCUGAUGUGUAUAGUUAUGGAAUGAUGGUUCUUGAAAUGGUCGGGCAAAGGAAAGAUUUUGAUAUGGGAUUGCCGGAAACCAACGAGUUGUAUUUCCCGGAUUGGUUUUAUAUGUAUCUUGAGCCAGGAAAGAUUUCAACACUUCAUGGAGGUAUAACGGAAGAGGAAGAAGAGAUUGUUGAAAAGAUGAUUUUAGUGGGUUUGUGGUGCAUCCAAACCAUUCCAUCACAUAGACCAUCAAUGACAAAGGUGGUAGAGAUGUUUGAAGGCAGUCUUCAAUCUUUGCAAAUUCCACCGAGACCUUCCCUUUCCUCUCCUAGAAGGUCCGUCCAAGAUCACUCUUCCACUGUAUCAUCACUGCCUCGCGUGUCGUCCCAGGGGGGUGGGGUAAACACAUUGUCUGUAGAUGAAAGUGACUUGUAACUGGAAAUUGCAAAUUUUAUUUAGCCUUAUAAAAAUAAAAAAACAAACCUUUAUUUGUUCUUCAUCUAAGUGGUGCUCUUGGUUGAAUUAAUUUUUUCUAUGAUAUAGCUCAUGCACGGGAGGAAACCCUCUCAGUGCUGGUAAGAGACACUAUCCUCUUACCUUCAUUUUUUUUGUUCAUGAUGUUAACAAAUCCUAGUAUGUACUUGAUGUUCAAUAAAUGGGAAGUGUAGAAUUGAUCUGUUCCUGCUUGCUUGUCAUUGUUUAUAAUUUCAAAGUUUAGACAAGACUAAGAGGCCGAGCUUUAUUAUUGCUUAUAGUUAAUGUCAUCAAAGCUUCAUUGCAAUUUUCAUGGCGAACUUCAAUUGUCAUUAUAACGACCAUGAACCUGAAUGGCCAACAUAGGAGGCAUAUAAUGAAUUCAUUUAUCGAAGAUGAAAUAGCAGGAACCAAUCCCUGCUUACAAGGCUCUAGGGAAGACGAAAACAAAAGGAAGGGAGGCUGUAAUAGCACAUUACAAAUAGAUGUUCCUUUUCACCUGUACUUGAUAGAGAAAUAAAGAGUUAAGAAACCUGCUGGUAGUAGAAUAUAAUUCGGUAUGCCAUCUAACUAGUCAAAUUUAUAUCUUCAUGUUUUGAUUUCUGCUACAGGACUUUUGAAGAGACACUGGCGACUUGUCAUUACAGAAGGUAGUACAGUAAUCAAAUUUAUAUCUUCCUCUUCCUCUACCUUUUUCAAUAACCAGUGGUGGUAACUAUUUCAUGGUUCUCACAUUUUCUUAUUUUAAGCCAUGUCAGCUCCUGUGGUGCUGUUUUUAGCAGUCUUUAUCAUUCGGUACAUUUUACUAAAAGAGAAGGAUUAUUUAGUGGCAAGACAAUGACCCUCUGACGGAAGAGCACGAAGCAAAAUGAAAAGAUUAAGGCAUUCAUGGUGAACUAUCACUCUCUUAUACCAAAGUGGUAUUCAUUUUUAGAUAUUAAGAAAAUUAACAACUCAUUUAACAACAGAUUAGAUCAAGGGAGAUUUGAUAGUGUAUACGAAUUAAGGGAAGUUGCUAGGUGGGUCUUGUGGCAGUAAAAGUCCUCACUAAGUUACUGAUGGAGAAGAAUUUAUUAAUGAAGUUGCCAGCAUCAGUAGAACUUCCCAUAUAAACACAGUUAUUCUUUUGGGUUUUUGACAUGAGAGGACUGAAAGAGCCUUAAUCUAUGAGUAAAUGCCCGAUGGAUCUCUCGAUAAGAUGGUGUUUGGCAUGAUCGAUAAAAUAAAAUAGGGUAAGAAAUUCAUUAAUUCCUUAUAUAUAUAUAUAUAUAUAUAUAUAUAUAUAUAAACAAAAUUUCUUUGAUUUUUUUUUAAAAUUUUGGAACCGGGAUUGAUCCUACCAAGUCAUGAGUAUUUGGGCCUUACCGUAGAUUGAUCCUAGUGUUAAGAUUUAAAACUAUAAUGAUAACUAUUUUUAUCUUUACGUUGCUUUGAGUUAAUUCAAGUUGACCAACCUAACCGACUUUUUAGUUGAGUUUUAAAAUUAUGAUAAUAAUUAUAUUUAUUCUUACGUUGACUCGGGUCAAUGGUCAAUCCAGUUUAUGACCCGAGUUUAGUCUCGGGUCGACUCCCAAGUAGGGUUUUAAACUAUGAUGAUAACCAUUUUUAUCUUUAUAUUGGCCAGGGUCAAUGGUCAACUCGGCCCGUGACUCGAGCCUGGUCUUGGGUCAAUUCUAAAGUUAGGUUUUAAAAUUAUGAUAAUAAUUAUUUUUAUCCUUACAUUGACCUGAGUCAAAGGUCAGCUUGACCUGUGACCUGAACCUAACCCUAGGUUAACCCCCAAGUUGAGUUUUAAAAAUAUAAUAAUAAUUGUUGUAACCCAUUUUUGAGUACCCUGUAAAUCAAAUAAAAAAAAAAUAAAAAAAAUUGAACAGUGUCGUUUUGACACUGUUCCUCUUCCUGCGUGCUGCUCCACGCCAAUGACUGCAUGCUGCUCCCAAAACUUAAAGCCCCACGCCACCUGCUUGAAGACCUCACCCGGUGUCCCCUGCUCCCCACCCGCAACAGCAGCCCGCUCCUUUCUAGCCUAUAAAUACCGCUCUUAACACCAGCAGCAGGGGGGAUUUUUUUGGACGAGAGAGAGAGGGCUCUUUUGAAACUGAAAGGGAGGAUGAUUUUUGGAAGCUGAAGGGGAGGCUUUUGAAAAUUUUGAAAUGGGAGUAAAGUUUGAACCGAGGACAGCUCACCAUCUCCUUCCCCCCGCAACAACACUGUGAGAAGCAGACAGGGGAAACAAAAACAGAGGAGAACAGAGCUGAAGAAAAACACCGAGAAGAACAAAGAAGAAAGCCCAACCACCGUCCAAGUCACUCCCCGGCCGCCACUACCAGCACCUUCACAAAGCUUCCAUAAAGAGGGAAGAACAUUGCUGACUGAAGGAAACCAAGAGAAGAAGCAUCGUCUCUGCAAAAGGGAAGAAGAAGAGAAAAUAGUUGUUGUCAUCGAGCUUCCUAGCCACUACCACCGUCAGAAUCACCGUGAGCCCUCAUUGGCUUCCUCUCCACCACCACCAGCAUCACUGUGAGUGUUCGACAUCGUCUUCGCUCCUUUCGGUUCCACGUUCAGGUAAGCGUUUUGCGUCCCUGUGCAUGUGAUUUUCUUUAGCAUUUUCACUGUGCAAGUGAAUUAUAAUUCACUUGAACAGUGAAAUGCAAAUGUUACUGUUCAAGUGAAUUAUAAUUCACUUGAACAAUACCAUCUAUUACUAUGCAUGGUUUCUUUUGCAUGUUACCAUGUGUGGUUUCCUUUGCCAUUUUGUGAAUUAUAAUUCACUUGAAGAAUACCAUUUGUAUAUAGUACUAAGCAUGCACACGUGAGCUUCCACCCAGGACACUAGCUCAGGCCAGUGACCUGAUUAGGCCUGCUGGGUCCAGCCCAGCCAUAUAGGCCGAACGGGGCCCAACCUAAAAAAAUUUAAUUAUUAAAAAUAAAAAUUCUUCAAAAAAUUAUUUCGAAAAAAUAAGUGAUUUUCUGCAAUUUUAUUACUGAUAUCGGUUUGUAUUUUUAUACUGUAAAGAUACAAAUCCGGUAUUAAAAUACCCGGUUUUCAAAAAAAAAAAGUUCAUUAAAAAAAUAUAUUUUGUUUUCAUGCAUACGACCUAGUCUCUCCAAUAUAUAUAUAAAUAUUAUAACAUCAUAUUUUCACACAACAAAGAAAAUUUCAAAACAAUAUAUUUAUUCGCAUGCAUUUUGGCUUUAAUAACCAGUUUAUUCAAGCCAUGAGAACUAGGCCAAUAUUUCAAAAAUUCCAAAAACAUUAUUGUGUUUUUUUUUAGUAUUUGGGGUUACGAUCUUAUACGUAAGACGUAUUUCGAAUAUUAAAUUUUUUUGUUAACGUCAGAAUUACCCAUUAAGAUAAGGAUCUCCUUACCGAGGAUGACUUUUCUUGAACCAUACAAACAACUAGGAAACACACGAAAAGACCUUAGAUUUUAUCAGACAAUAAAACAAUGCAGCUUACCUUAAUAUAUGGCGUAAUUGGGGUGCUAAUACCUUCCCUUUACGCAACCAGUCCCCGUGCCCGAUCACUGAGACCAGUUAGGGUUCCUAGUAACCAAAAUACUAGGUGACGACUCCCAUUCCAUUUUCCACCAACAAAAAACAAUAUUUUCUUGUCUCCCCAACAUUUUCCAGAGAUUAGAUAGAUAUACACUUCCUAAUAAAGUGGAACCGAUUUCGCCGCGACACCGCACACGUGCGACAAUAAUAAUAAUAAUACUUUUUUAUUUUUAUGUUGACUAAAGUCAAUAAUCAACCCGACCUGUGACCUAGACCCGAUCCCUAGCCGAUCUUAUAGUCGAGUUUUAAAACUAUGAUAAUAAUCACUUUUAUCCUUAUAUUGGCCCGGGUUAAUGGUCAACCCAACUUAUGACUUGAGCCUGGCCUCAGGUCGAUCACAAGUUAAGUUUUAAAAUUAUGAUAAUAACGAUUUUUAUUUUUAUGUUGAUCCGGGUCAAUAGUUAACCCCACCGUGACCUGGGCCUAGCCUUAAGUCGGCUAUAAAGUUGGGUAUUAAAAUUAUAACAAUAACUACUUUUAUUUUUAUACUAACUCGAGUUAAUGGUCUCGACCCGUGAUUAUUAUUGUCCCAAAUAUCAAAAACUACCUAAAUUUAUAUCUUAUAAAGAAUUCGAGCAAAUAAAAUAGAAAGCAUACCUUGAUGAAUAACAAUCUAUUUAAGAAAAUGCAGUCCUGAAUUUAAUUUGAUGAAAAACUUUGUUUCUCUUAACUUCAAUUAUUUUCAAGUAUGUUUUGAUGAAAAAAGAUGUUUGAUAAAAAUCAGUUUUCUUAAUAAAUUUAUUAUCCCAUACAUUCAUCAAUAGUUAUAAUAAAAAACCACUUUUCAAAAUUAAUCAUCGAAGAGCCCAUUAGCUAAUAUAUAUCCAUCACAUCUUACACCCAGCUUUCAAUUUCAUGUUAUAACCAUCUCUUUUUCCUAUCUAGCGCGUGGCCCAGGGACGAUUAAAGUAAGAAAUAAUUUGGUGUAUAAAGGUCUACUAAAAGUGCUAUGCAAUCGCUUGUUUCAUUUGGCCACAUCACCUUCCAAUUUAAGCCAAACUCAAUAGUCAGCUCUUAAAUUCUUGACGAAGCCUGUUUUCGGUAUUUUGUGAGUUCCCGUUAACACAAUUUUCUAGCCAGCUCUUAGGCUCCGUUCAGAAAAAUUAUAUUUUCUUAGAAAAUAAAUUUUGAGAAAGUGAAUUUUUGGAUAGUAAGUUAUUUUUUGAUAUUUAGUAGUGUUAUGAAAAAUAAAAUAAAAAAUAUUUUUUGGUGUUUGGUUAUGUUAUGAAAAUAAUUGAAAAAUAAUUUAUUAAUAAAUCAAUUUUUUUUAAGUUUAUCUAAUAUAUAUAAAAUAUUUAAUAUAAUAUUUAAUCACUUAUAAUAAAAAAGAAUGAAAUCUAAAAAGUAUAAUGAUGAUUUUUUUUAUUAUAUCCUAUAUUCAUAUAUAGUUUAUUUUAUAAAAUAUAACUAUAUAUGUCAUAUCAUAUUAUAGAAAAAUAACAUUUGUGAAAUAUUUUUUGAGUAAAACCUAUUAAUAUAUAUUUUUUUAAUUUUAAAAGUUUAAAAUAAGUUUUUUUUGUUUUUAUAUGAAGAAAGUCAAAUUAGUUUAUAGUAAGAGUUAGAUAUUUGGAUAUUUUUUUUGUAUGAAAUUUUUUUUAAAAAAUAAAUAAAUAGAAAGAUAUUGUGAUGUGUUUUUUUGGAUAAAGAUUAAUCAUUGAAGAGCCCAUUAGCUUAUCUAUAUAUCCAUCACAUCUCACACCCAGCUUCAAUUUCAUGUUAUUACCAUCAUGCCAUAUGACUUUUCCAGCCUUGCUAGAAUAUAAGCGAUCUUUGUUUUUCCUUGCAAGUCUCCUUGACCAACAGUGUUCUGUAUGUUCCGAGAGAGUGAUGUGCAGUGCAUAGACUUUAUGUUUUCAAUAAAGCACAGCGGAGAUUAAUGUGCUCAUCAUACCUUUGCAUGCAAGUCACCUGAACUUUUAAAUAAUGCAUUUAUUUUUGUUCCUCAUUUCUUUAUCCUCUGAACUUUCCCAGAAACAACCAAGCCCAUUUUGAAACCCAAUGUCACGCAAUCGGUUUCAAUCUUCUAUUUAAUUUAAUUUAAUUUCUAUGCAUCUAUUUCUUUGUUUACUAUCCCAGUCCAUACUCAAAGUGCGUUUUUUUAUUUGUCAUAGCACUCCAAUUUGAUGUCCAAUUUUUUGAAUAAACAUUUUACUAACAUGACCAUACCUUUAAAACAAAUAAUUCAAUUUUACAGAUUUUUAAUUUUACUCCAAAAGGUUUUCUCAAACUAAUCUACAAUUUUCUCAGUAGUUGCUAAUUAUAAAUACAAGUUUGACAGUAGUUGCUAAUUAUAAAUACAAGUUUGACAGUUGGAGGAGGGCUUGUACGUAAUAGUUAUUAACUAGUUUGUUAAUAAAGAAAUAAUAAUUUUUUUAAAAAAUAAUGAAAUUAAAAUAAUAAUAAUUACAAUUUAAUAAAUUAUUUCAAAUAAAAUAAGUAACAAUCAAAAGAAUAAGAUCAAAUUUGAUAGAUAAAAAAUUUCAAUUAAAAAAAUAAUAAUAAAAAAAAGCAAAUAACAAUCAUAUAAAUGAGAAUCAAAGUUAAUAUAAAAAUCAAAUUUUAAGGGAUGAAUUUAAAAAUAAAAAAUUAAACAAAAUAUAUAUUAAUUAAAAUUUUGAUGAUCAAAUUUGAUAUAAUCAGUAAAUAAUAUAAUAUUUUUAAAAUUUUCACAAUUUCUGGAAGAUAUUUUCUUUUUAAAAUAAAAAAAAAAUACUUUCCUAUAAAUCAAACCAGAUUAAAAAAUGUUUUUUAUUAAUCAAUUUUUUUAAUAACAAACAAACCCUAUUAUUUUCUCUUAAUUUUUGUUAUUAGGUAAGAGAAAGACCCGAUUUCAUGUAAUUAUCAUCAACCACAUAACUUUCCAAACUAUGCGAGGAUUUUUUUGCGUGUCCUUUAAUAUAUUUGACCGAUUAUGUUCUCUUCUUUUAGUCCCCAUGACAGUGAUGCAUCAUAGCAUACAAAGACUUCAUUUUGCAAAUAGAGGCCUCGUCGAAAGAGAUUAGUGUGGUAGCCCUUUCCCAAGAAACAAAUAAAUGAAAAACUUUGAGUCCACCAAGCAUUUAAAUCCAAGUAUUGCGUUCACAUCUAUCCCUUUCUGAUGUAUUUAUUUACCUGAAAUUGAUAAUUAGCACGUCAAGACUCAUCUCUUUAUACUCGAAACAACCAAGCCCAUUUUGCUAGCACACAAUUCCAUUUCUCCUAUGCUACUUCCUCUUGCCAGAAUGAAUUCCUCGGCCUUUUCUUUUCUUUCAGAUUUGGUUCUUGUAUUGUUGCUCUUCAUUCAAGUCCCUUCAUCCCUAGGCAACGAUGACCUGUUCACUGCCUGUAGUAAAAAGUUUGUAUGUGGGGGUGUUUCCGCGGGUUUUCCGUUCUGGGGAAAUGACAGACCACCUGCCUGUGGCGUUCCUGAAUUGGAGCUCAGGUGUGAGAAUAAUAUCGCCAGGAUGAAUAUCAGUCAGGUUGCAUAUCGUGUUUUGGAAAUCAAUUGGGAAAUGGGAACUCUCAGGAUUGCAAGAGAGGACUCCUUGGUUGGAUUGUGUCCACCGCCAUUUAUGAACAGCACGUUCAAUCCUAAUGUUUUCGAGUCUGAUUUUGAGGGUUACAAAAAUCUUACAAUCGUUUAUGGUUGCAAGGAUGCUGCAACCAUACCUGCAGGUACAAUACCUAUCACUUGCAAAAUAAAUGAGGUUAAUGAUCAAGGUGGUUAUAUCCAAGAAGGAGAUACAGGUCCAGGGGAAUGCAAUCGUAGUGUCUUAGUGCCAGUUUCUAAAACAGAUUGGCCACCAAUCAAGGAUCUGCCAGGUUGGGAAGAACUCCUGAGAAAAGGAUUCGAGGUAAGAUUGAAGGUCGAUAGGGAGGCGUGCGGGGAAUGCAUCACCACUUCAGGAGCUUGUGGUCUAGACCACGCAACUAAUCAAACAACUUGUUACUGUCCAAAUCAAUCAAGUGGAUCAAGAACAUGUCCUCCUCCUCCUCUUGCUCCUCCUCCUGCUCCUGCUCUUCCAUAUCGAGGUAUGUACCUCAACUUCUCCUCGAAUCAGUUUAUGAUGAACUCCAGUCACUUGUUGAUGCUUCACACACCUUAAUUAGUUCCAUUCCUGUGUUGUUAUUUUAAUUUUAUUUUAAUUAGACUUGGACUGAAGUAAACAUCAAUAUGAUGACUUGGACAGAAGUGUUUGUUAAUUGAGUGUUGCCCCGAAUAUCCCCCUUUUCAAUUAAAAUAAGUUUAUGCUUUUAAAGAAUUAAUUGUUAAUUAUAGACAAUCAAAGAAAUAAAGAUUUAAGAGAAACAUUAAAGUCUAGCAUUUAACAUGUUACGAAUUUAAAAGUUUAAUUUAAGAGAUUCUUCUAGCUAGAUUUUUAUUUUUAUUUUUAUUUUAUUUUUAAAACUUAUAUUUUUUAGUUUUAUUUUAUAAUAUUUUAUUUAAUUAGAUAUUUAAAUCCAUAAUUUAUUUAUUUAUUAUAUAUAUGUAAUUUUUCACUUAUUUUAAAAAUAAAUAGAUGGUAUAUUUUUUCUGUAACAUAAUAAAUAGUUAGGGGAAAAGAGACUGUGAUUGCGGAAGGAUCUCAUCCGAUAAACAAUCUAAUCAAUAAUGAUAUUUUCAGUUGGGAUUACCAAAUCUAAUCAACAUAAAAUUACAGGGAAUAUUAGUUCGUUUAAAAAUGAAGAAAAUAAACAUAAUAUAUCCUUGAGUCAAGUCAAGUAGUGAGGCUUCGUUUGAAACCCAAUGUCACACAACAGUUUCAAUAAACUUUAUAAGAAAUAAAUUAUAAAAAUUAUAAAAUUCAAUUUUCAAUAAAUAUAAUUUUUAAAAGAUAUAAUUAAAAUUAAAAACAAUACUGUUUUAAAAAAUAAUAUUUUAUAAAAAGAGAUACAAUAAAAUCACUUUUUCGUUAAGUCAAGUGAAGUGAGGCCUCGUCUCUAUCACUGAAAUCCAAUGUCACGCAAUCGAUUUCAACCUUCUAUUUAAUUUAAUUUAAUUUCUAUACAUCUAUUUCAUUGUUGACUAGCCCAGUCCAUACUCCAAGUGCGUUUUUUCUAUUGGUCGCCUGUGGGAUAACACAGUACAUUUUACUUACGUGGCCGUAGCUUUAAAACAAAUAAUUCAAAUUUACGGACUUUUUAGUACAAAGGAUUUCUCAAACUAAUCUUCAAUUUUCUCAGUAAUUGUUAAUUAUAAAUACAAGUUUGAUAGUUGGAGGAGGGCAAUGCAAUAGUUAUUAAUUAGUAUCUUUCGAUCGGAUAAAAAUGUUUUUAAAUAUAAAAAAAAAUUGCAAGCCACAUUGAAGUCACAAUGUUACGAGUGCGGUUGGGUUUUUUUUCUUCUUAGUUAUUUUAUUUUUACUUUUUUUUUUCAAAUCCAUCAUUUUGAUUGAAAUUAUUCUUUAUUAUUAGAUUAAUGAUAAAUUAUUUUUUGUAGUUUUUAUCAUAAAAUAAAAUAAAAAAAUAAAUUGAUUAAGUCGAGUUCAUAAUCUUGAUUACGAGUUUGACAUAUUGACUAAACAUUAAUAAAAAAGUCAGAGUUUGGGUUUUUGGUAUUUUUUUUAUAUAUAUUUUGGUUUUUUUUUUUUGCCAAUUCUAUUAUUUAAUAUGAGGUUUUUUAUUGAAUUUUAUCAUUUAAUAUUGGAUUAAUAAUAAAUUAAUCUUGGUAUUUUCAAUCAUAUAAUAAAAUAAAAAUUAAUUCGAUCCAAUGAAGUCCAUAACCCAGAUUACAGGGUUGACAAAUUGACUAAAUAUUAAUAAAAAAAUUAGAUUGGAAUUUUUUCAAGUUUAAAUCAUUAUGUCGAAUUUAAUAACAAUACCACAAAGUUUUGAACAAUCUAAAUAUGGUUUCUAAAGUUUCAAAAAAUUUGUGUGUAACCUACAGCGAAAGUGCAGGUGGAUAAACUAGUAAUAAUCAAAUCGAUGUAGCAUGGUUCUUUUUUUAGCUUUAUGUCUCAUUUUGUAUGUAAAUUAAAACUUGCAAUCUCAUGUAAAUAUUUAAACUUUAUGCUUUAUAAAAAAAAAUGAGCUUUUUAUUUUUCAAGGAUGUAAUUUGAUUAUAAUUGAAGUGAGGGGAGGAGAAGUAUAUAUUUUGACAUUAAAAUAUAAUAUCAUCAACUUUAAUGUAGUUUUAGUUUGAAAGUACAAAGUUACAUAUUAAUAAUUCAGCCUCUAAAUGAAUAUAUUGUGUCAUAUAUAUGCCAUAUAAAUAAAUCUAAUAAUUACAUUUCCUAUAAAUACACAAUCUUCAUUCCAACAAUUAAUGCAGUCCCAACGCGAACUCCCUAACAUUAUUUGAUGUCCUGUUACAGGAUCUUCUUGGAGUCGUAGGCGACUACAUAGUGCUAUAGGUAAAUAUUAUCAUAAGAAAUCCUUUUUUUUGUUUGAAAUCCUUUUUUUGAUGAUGAUGCAUCUUAAAUUAUAGGCAUAUCAGCAGCUAUGGCAGCGAUAAUAACUUUUUCAUAAUUACAAUAUGUCUCACUAGAAGAAAAGGUUCAUUUAGUGCCGUCAUAGCAAAGAUCUUCAGGCUCGAAGAAUUCGCAGCAUGUUGACAGUGUUGAAACAUUUAUGAUGGACAACCAUUCUCUUACUCCGAAGCGUUAUUCAUAUUCAGAUAUCAAGAAAAUGACUAUUCGUCAAUAUACUAGGUCAGGGGGGAUUUGGUUAUGUAUACAGAGGAAAGUUACCAACGGUCGUCUCGUGGCUGUAAAAGUCUAAAAGAGUCCAAAGGUGAUGGAGAAGAGUUCAUGAAUGAAGUUGCAAGCAUCAGUAGAACUUCCCACGUGAAUGUAGUUACCCUUUUGGGUUUUGCUACGAGAGGAAUAAAAGAGCUUUGAUUUAUGAAUUCAUGCCCAAUGGAUCUUUAGAUAGCUUUAUAUUUGAUAAAGGAUCCUCAUGAACUGUCGUUUAGAAUGGAAAAAUUAUAUGAAAUUGCAGUUGGUAUUGCUAGAGGUUUGGAGUACUUGCAUAGAGGGUGUAACACUCGGAUUGUGCAUUUUGACAUAAAGCCUCACAACAUUCUUCUUGAUGAAGAUUUUGUCCAAAGAUCUCAGAUUUUGGUCUCGCGAAGCUAUGCCAGAGCAAAGUAAGUAAGAUUUCGAUGAUAGGUGCAGGGACUGUUGGUUACAUAGCACCUGAAGUAUUCUGCAGAUCUUUUGGAGGAGUAACUUACAAGUCUGAUGUGUAUAGUUAUGGAAUGAUGGUUCUUGACAUGGUCGGACA
Molecule: long non-coding RNA, 11531 nt
Filed under: Populus tremula
Lineage: Eukaryota; Viridiplantae; Streptophyta; Magnoliopsida; Malpighiales; Salicaceae
Description: long non-coding RNA (PTRE_LNC001322)
Source: RNAcentral